GUGAAGAAGGCCUUUUGGUUGUAAAGCACUUUAAGCAGUGAAGAAGAUUCUUCGGUUAAUACCCGGAGACGAUGACAUUAGCUGCAGAAUAAGCACCGGCUAACUCUGUGCCAGCAGCCGCGGUAAUACAGAGGGUGCAAGCGUUAAUCGGAAUUACUGGGCGUAAAGCGAGCGUAGGUGGCUUGAUAAGUCAGAUGUGAAAUCCCCGGGCUUAACCUGGGAACUGCAUCUGAUACUGUCAGGCUAGAGUAGGUGAGAGGAAGGUAGAAUUCCAGGUGUAGCGGUGAAAUGCGUAGAGAUCUGGAGGAAUACCGAUGGCGAAGGCAGCCUUCUGGCAUCAUACUGACACUGAGGCUCGAAAGCGUGGGUAGCAAACAGGAUUAGAUACCCUGGUAGUCCACGCCGUAAACGAUGUCUACUAGUCGUUGGGUCCCUUGAGGACUUAGUGACGCAGCUAACGCAAUAAGUAGACCGCCUGGGGAGUACGGCCGCAAGGUUAAAACUCAAAUGAAUUGACGGGGGCCCGCACAAGCGGUGGAGCAUGUGGUUUAAUUCGAUGCAACGCGAAGAACCUUACCUGGUCUUGACAUAUCUAGAAUCCUGCAGAGAUGCGGGAGUGCCUUCGGGAAUUAGAAUACAGGUGCUGCAUGGCUGUCGUCAGCUCGUGUCGUGAGAUGUUGGGUUAAGUCCCGCAACGAGCGCAACCCUUGUCCUUAGUUACCAGCGGGUUAAGCCGGGAACUCUAAGGAUACUGCCAGUGACAAACUGGAGGAAGGCGGGGACGACGUCAAGUCAUCAUGGCCCUUACGACCAGGGCUACACACGUGCUACAAUGGUAGGUACAGAGGGCAGCUACACAGCGAUGUGAUGCGAAUCUCAAAAAGCCUAUCGUAGUCCAGAUUGGAGUCUGCAACUCGACUCCAUGAAGUAGGAAUCGCUAGUAAUCGCGGAUCAGAAUGCCGCGGUGAAUACGUUCCCGGGCCUUGUACACACCGCCCGUCACACCAUGGGAGUUGAUUGCACCAGAAGUGGUUAGC
Molecule: ribosomal RNA, 1037 nt
Filed under: Psychrobacter sp.
Lineage: Bacteria; Pseudomonadati; Pseudomonadota; Gammaproteobacteria; Moraxellales; Moraxellaceae
Description: bacterial SSU rRNA
Rfam family: Bacterial small subunit ribosomal RNA
Source: RNAcentral